GGGUCAGUAGGUUGGUCGUGCCACCGGUACGUACUGGUCUCACUGGUUCCUCCUUCCUGAAGAACCGUAAUGCCAUUAAUUUGGUGUUGCGGGGAAACAGGACUGUUACUUUGAAAAAAUUAGAGUGUUUAAAGCAAGCUAACGCUUGAAUACAUUAGCAUGGAAUAAUGAAAUAGGACGAUCGAUCCUAUUUUGUUGGUUUCUAGGAUUGACAUA
Molecule: ribosomal RNA, 216 nt
Filed under: Glomeromycotina sp.
Lineage: Eukaryota; Fungi; Glomeromycota
Description: partial small subunit ribosomal RNA
Rfam family: Eukaryotic small subunit ribosomal RNA (bases 47-216)
Source: RNAcentral